GACGAACGCUGGCGGCGCGCCUAACACAUGCAAGUCGAACGAGAGAGAGGGAGCUUGCUUCCUCGAUCGAGUGGCGAACGGGUGAGUAACGCGUGAGGAACCUGCCUCAAAGAGGGGGACAACAGUUGGAAACGACUGCUAAUACCGCAUAAGCCCACGACCCGGCAUCGGGAAGAGGGAAAAGGAGCAAUCCGCUUUGAGAUGGCCUCGCGUCCGAUUAGCUAGUUGGUGAGGUAACGGCCCACCAAGGCGACGAUCGGUAGCCGGACUGAGAGGUUGAACGGCCACAUUGGGACUGAGACACGGCCCAGACUCCUACGGGAGGCAGCAGUGGGGAAUAUUGCACAAUGGGGGAAACCCUGAUGCAGCGACGCCGCGUGGAGGAAGAAGGUCUUCGGAUUGUAAACUCCUGUUGUUGAGGAAGAUAAUGACGGUACUCAACAAGGAAGUGACGGCUA
RNAcentral lists this ribosomal RNA (458 nucleotides) under uncultured bacterium. RNAcentral describes it as "bacterial SSU rRNA". It matches the Rfam family "Bacterial small subunit ribosomal RNA", at positions 28 to 499 of the family's 1533-position model. The record is from RNAcentral.